Molecule: long non-coding RNA, 201 nt
Filed under: Lathyrus oleraceus (garden pea)
Lineage: Eukaryota; Viridiplantae; Streptophyta; Magnoliopsida; Fabales; Fabaceae
Description: Pisum sativum (pea) long non-coding RNA (PSAT_LNC014702)
Source: RNAcentral
AACAAACAAAAACAAUACGACGACAACAAAAAUAAAAGCGAUGGAAAUAAAACAUGAAAGGAAAAACCCCCCACACCUGAAUUAAACAUUGACCUCAAUGUUUAAAUCCAGAUACAAAGGGGACUCACAGCGACUACUGUUGGUUUACUGCACUUGUGUAGUUUCCUUCCAUUUGGAGGUGUUGGUGACUUUGCCCUUUUA